RNAcentral lists this transfer RNA (72 nucleotides) under Trichonephila clavata. It matches the Rfam family "tRNA". Rfam says of the family: Transfer RNA (tRNA) molecules are approximately 80 nucleotides in length. Their secondary structure includes four short double-helical elements and three loops (D, anti-codon, and T loops). Further hydrogen bonds mediate the characteristic L-shaped molecular structure. tRNAs have two regions of fundamental functional importance: the anti-codon, which is responsible for specific mRNA codon recognition, and the 3' end, to which the tRNAs corresponding amino acid is attached (by aminoacyl-tRNA synthetases). tRNAs cope with the degeneracy of the genetic code in two manners: having more than one tRNA (with a specific anti-codon) for a particular amino acid; and 'wobble' base-pairing, i.e. permitting non-standard base-pairing at the 3rd anti-codon position. The record is from Rfam by way of RNAcentral. Lineage: Eukaryota; Metazoa; Arthropoda; Arachnida; Araneae; Nephilidae.
GUCCGGCUAGCUCAGUUGGUAGAGCACGAGACUCUUAAUCUCGGGUCUUGGGUUCGCACCCAACGUUGGGCG